Molecule: non-coding RNA, 966 nt
Organism: Myodes glareolus (Bank vole)
Lineage: Eukaryota; Metazoa; Chordata; Mammalia; Rodentia; Cricetidae
Source: RefSeq, a predicted model, not a curated record
UCGCCUCGUCGCAGCUGGGUCCCGGCCGCAGGCCCGCCCAGCAGCUCGGGCAGGCCAGCCGCGGCGCCCGGAAAUAGGCGGCGCGUGGCUUGAGGUGCGCGUCUCCUCCCCCUCGGCCACUCGAGGGCGACACCCCAACUGAUGACCCCCUCAAGGGGCUGGAGUUUGAAGAGCAAGAGUGGCUUUGCCCUCAGGGAUGAAUUACCUCUGGAGCGGGACUGGGGAGUACUGUCAACUCGAAAGCGACAGGCGUUUGAUUACUGAGAGGAAACCAAAGGAAGGAAGAUGUAUCUGGGCUCAUGGUUUCAGAGGUUUCCAUCGUAGCCAUUUGAUUUGUCCUGAGUUGAUGGAGCAGACCUUCUCAGCCCCUAGCAGCUGGGAAUCAGACGUGGGAACAAGAUGUGUCUCCCAGGACUAGCUCCCUACGACUUACUUAUUCUAAUGAAGCUUCACCUUCGACUUUCUACAACCUCCCAAUAUUGUGAUUGGUUAUUGAUAAGACAGGUCCUUCAGGAGAUCAUGUCAGAGAUCAAAUGUCAACAGUUUGGCUAUGCCAUGUUACCACAGAUUUAUCAUGGUCACUAAGUCUUAACCUAUGAACUGUUCUAAAAAUAUGAUAGCCUGGGGUGGUGGCACACGCCCUGGAAUCCCAAUCUCGGAAAGCAGAGCUGGAAGGAUUGGCACAAGUUUAAAACCAGCCUGGUCUACAUACCUGGUUCUACUGCCACCUGGACUAUAGAGUGAGACGCUGCUCCCCUAUCUGGUCAGGGAGCAAGCAUACUUGCUGCCAGACUUGACAGCUGGUGUUCAGUCCCUGAAACCUGCGUGGUGGAAGAAAACAGAGUCCCACAAUUGUCCUCCGACCUCCGCAUGCACCGUGGUGAAUGCCUGCACUCCUUCCCAUAAGUCGUUAAAGAAAAAUUCUAAAGCACAGGAAUAAAUACAAGCAGCGUGACGUGUCCUUAA